AUUGAACGCUGGCGGCAUGCCUUACACAUGCAAGUCGAACGGCAGCACGGGAGCAAUCCUGGUGGCGAGUGGCGAGCGGGUGAGUAAUAUAUCGGAACGUGCCCAGUAGUGGGGGAUAGCCCGGCGAAAGCCGGAUUAAUACCGCAUACGACCUGUGGGUGAAAGCGGGGGAUCGCAAGACCUCGCGCUAUUGGAGCGGCCGAUAUCAGAUUAGCUAGUUGGUGGGGUAAAGGCCCACCAAGGCGACGAUCUGUAGCUGGUCUGAGAGGACGACCAGCCACACUGGGACUGAGACACGGCCCAGACUCCUACGGGAGGCAGCAGUGGGGAAUUUUGGACAAUGGGCGCAAGCCUGAUCCAGCCAUGCCGCGUGUGGGAAGAAGGCCUUCGGGUUGUAAACCACUUUUGUCAGGGAAGAAACGGCUCUUACUAAUAUUAGGGGCUAAUGACGGUACCUGAAGAAUAAGCACCGGCUAACUACGUGCCAGCAGCCGCGGUAAUACGUAGGGUGCAAGCGUUAAUCGGAAUUACUGGGCGUAAAGCGUGCGCAGGCGGCUUUGCAAGACAGAUGUGAAAUCCCCGGGCUCAACCUGGGAACUGCAUUUGUGACUGCAUGGCUAGAGUACGGUAGAGGGGGAUGGAAUUCCGCGUGUAGCAGUGAAAUGCGUAGAUAUGCGGAGGAACACCGAUGGCGAAGGCAAUCCCCUGGACCUGUACUGACGCUCAUGCA
Molecule: ribosomal RNA, 730 nt
Filed under: uncultured beta proteobacterium
Lineage: Bacteria; Pseudomonadati; Pseudomonadota; Betaproteobacteria
Description: bacterial SSU rRNA
Rfam family: Bacterial small subunit ribosomal RNA
Source: RNAcentral